Molecule: ribosomal RNA, 497 nt
Filed under: uncultured bacterium
Lineage: Bacteria
Description: partial 16S ribosomal RNA
Rfam family: Bacterial small subunit ribosomal RNA
Source: RNAcentral
GAUGAACGCUGGCGGCGUGCCUAAUACAUGCAAGUCGAACGAACAGACGAGGAUCUUGCUCCUUUCACGUUAGCGGCGGACGGGUGAGUAACACGUGGAUCACCUACCUAUAAGACUGGUAUAACUUCGGGAAACCGGAUCUAAUACCGGAUAAUAUAUUGAACCGCAUGGUUCAAUAGUGAAAGACGGUUUUGCUGUCACUUAUAGAGGGUUCCCCGCCGCAUUAGCUAGUUGGUAAGGUCACGGCUUACCAAGGCGACGAUGCGUAGCCGACCUGAGAGAGUGGUAGGCCACACUGGAACUGAGCCGCGGUCCAGGCGCCUACGGGAGGCAGCAGUAGCGUAUCGUCGGCAGUGGGCGAAAGCAUUACGGAGUAACGCCAAGUGAGUUAUGGCAGUCUUCGGAGCGGAAAACUCUGUUAUUAGGGAAGAACAAAUGUGUAAGGAAAUAUGCACGUAUUGACGGUACCUAAUCAGAAAGCAACGGCUAACUACGUG